UCGCGCUGCGCGGCGGGCGCUGAGUGACGUGAGAAGGGAGACGGAGUGCUGGGGCGCGCGCUGUCUGAGGCGUUGCCUUGGCGGGAGCGUCUCGCUGAGGGCACGGGAGGGCUGAGGGCGGGGCGGCUGUUGCACGGGGAACGGGCUCCCAGCGCCGGGCGGUACCCUGUGCUACCGGGAUGUCCGCUGGCAAGGGCAAGCCGGGAUAAACAGUACGCGGUGCACACGUGUACGCGGAAUUACCCUCAGAUAGGAAUGCACGACCGCAGUGCAGGCUGGGCGCUGCUGCUUUGCUGCUGCACCGGGCAUCCCGGGAACGCGUGUGCCGCCCUGCCCAGACACGCCGCAAUGGGACGGGCUGCUGGCCGCAGCUGGCUGUGAGCAGCGCAGCUGUGAGACCUCCGCCAAGGCGCUCUGGAUGCAAAAGAACAUCUUAAAGCGGGGUUCUGUUUCUAACUUCCAUGUCGAAGCUUCUGCAGCUCAGGGCAGCACGUGAGCAGCCGCCGCUUCCCGCAGCCGUUCGUACCGCCGCGGGGCCGUUUCGCCGUUUCGAGUCAGCUCGGCGCGCUGCUGCCCUGCAGGUUGAACUGAUGCACUGAAAUUCAGAGCGAGAGACAAUCGAGUACCACCGCGGGGCGGCGAGUUACUUCACUAGCACGUAUUUUAAUGCAAACUGCGGGUGAAGCUAUUUUGGUUCAGUUUCAGUUCCCGCUAGCAACAAUUAGAAUUACUUCAGGGUUUUGAAACCAGUUUAACUGGUUCACGUUGGGAAGAGAAACGCAUGAAAGCGAGACGAGGCUCCUUUCCCGGACGGCGCCGGGGCUCUUCGGACUCGGUGUCGGCGCGGCCUCCCGAGGGGCAGCGCAGAUCCCGGGGCCGCAGGGCG
Non-coding RNA from Meleagris gallopavo (turkey), 886 nucleotides. Lineage: Eukaryota; Metazoa; Chordata; Aves; Galliformes; Phasianidae. The record is from RefSeq and is a predicted model, not a curated record.